UGGGGAAUAUUGGACAAUGGGCGAAAGCCUGAUCCAGCCAUGCCGCGUGUGUGAAGAAGGUCUUCGGAUUGUAAAGCACUUUAAGUUGGGAGGAAGGGCAGUAAGCGAAUACCUUGCUGUUUUGACGUUACCGACAGAAUAAGCACCGGCUAACUCUGUGCCAGCAGCCGCGGUAAUACAGAGGGUGCAAGCGUUAAUCGGAAUUACUGGGCGUAAAGCGCGCGUAGGUGGUUCGUUAAGUUGAAUGUGAAAGCCCCGGGCUCAACCUGGGAACUGCAUCCAAAACUGGCAAGCUAGAGUAGGGCAGAGGGUGGUGGAAUUUCCUGUGUAGCGGUGAAAUGCGUAGAUAUAGGAAGGAACACCAGUGGCGAAGGCGACCACCUGGGCUCAUACUGACACUGAGGUGCGAAAGCGUGGGGAGCAAACAGG
RNAcentral lists this ribosomal RNA (429 nucleotides) under Pseudomonadota bacterium. RNAcentral's name for it is "Proteobacteria bacterium partial 16S ribosomal RNA". It matches the Rfam family "Bacterial small subunit ribosomal RNA", at positions 355 to 776 of the family's 1533-position model. The record is from RNAcentral. Lineage: Bacteria; Pseudomonadati; Pseudomonadota.